GAUGAACGCUAGCUACAGGCUUAACACAUGCAAGUCGCGGGGCAGCAUGGGGGUUGCUUGCAAUCCCCGAUGGCGACCGGCGCACGGGUGAGUAACGCGUAUCCAACCUGCCCUUCACCACGGGAUAACCCGGCGAAAGUCGGACUAAUACCGUAUGUUGUCCAUUGACGGCAUCCGAUUUGGACGAAAGGUUUGGCGGUGAAGGAUGGGGAUGCGUCCGAUUAGCUGGACGGCGGGGUGACGGCCCACCGUGGCGACGAUCGGUAGGGGUUCUGAGAGGAAGGUCCCCCGCACUGGAACUGAGACACGGUCCAGACUCCUACGGGAGGCAGCAGUGAGGAAUAUUGGUCAAUGGGCGUAAGCCUGAACCAGCCAAGUAGCGUGCAGGAUGACGGCCCUAUGGGUUGUAAACUGCUUUUAUGCGGGGAUAAAGUGGCCCACGUGUGGGUUUUUGCAGGUACCGCAUGAAUAAGGACCGGCUAAUUCCGUG
RNAcentral lists this ribosomal RNA (490 nucleotides) under uncultured bacterium. RNAcentral's name for it is "partial 16S ribosomal RNA". It matches the Rfam family "Bacterial small subunit ribosomal RNA", at positions 28 to 507 of the family's 1533-position model. The record is from RNAcentral.